AUGACAAGCACUUUGAAAAGAGGGUGAAAAGAGCCUGAAACCGUCACGGGGGAAGCGGAUCGCGUUGGAUCGGUGGGCGCUCGUGUGUUCAGCCUUCGGGUGCAUUGGCACGAGUGCUUAUCCGCUGUGAGUUUUCGGGGAUCGAUUUUGGAUCCCUGGAGGCUGAGGGCUCCCUUUUUGAGGUGAGGACAGCGGAGUAACGACGCGAUACGACCCGUCUUGAAACACGGACCAAGGAGUCUAGCGCGGGUGCGAGUCGGAGGGUGCAAGCCCGUGGGCGAAGUGAAAGCGAGUGUAAAAACGAGCAGUUUGGGGCGGCAUAAGAUCGUUGAUCUUAAGACCGACCCAGAGCAGUUGCGCUGGGACCCGAAAGAUGGUGAACUAUGCCGGAGUAGGGCAAAGCCAGAGGAAACUCUGGUGGAGGCUCGUAGCGGUGCUGACGUGCAAAUCGCUCGUCGAACUUGGGUAUAGGGGCGAAAGACUAAUCGAACCAUCUAGUAGCUGGUUCCCUCCGAAGUUUCUCUCAGGAUAGCUGGCCGACAAGUUGUUUUGUGC
Molecule: ribosomal RNA, 555 nt
Filed under: Mastocarpus stellatus
Lineage: Eukaryota; Rhodophyta; Florideophyceae; Gigartinales; Phyllophoraceae
Description: eukaryotic LSU rRNA
Rfam family: Eukaryotic large subunit ribosomal RNA
Source: RNAcentral